GACAGAGGGUGCAAACGUUGUUCGGAAUUACUGGGCGUAAAGCGUGUGUAGGCGGCUAAGUAAGUCGGGCGUGAAAUCCCACGGCUCAACCGUGGAAGUGCACUCGAAACUGCAUAGCUAGAGUCCUGGAGAGGAAGGUGGAAUGCUUGGUGUAGAGGUGAAAUUCGUAGAUAUCGGGAGGAACACCAGUGGCGAAGGCGGCUCUCUGGACAGGUACUGACGCUGAGACGCGAAAGCGUGGGUAGCAAACAGG
RNAcentral lists this ribosomal RNA (253 nucleotides) under uncultured bacterium. RNAcentral's name for it is "partial 16S ribosomal RNA". It matches the Rfam family "Bacterial small subunit ribosomal RNA", at positions 524 to 776 of the family's 1533-position model. The record is from RNAcentral.